AUGAAAUGGUACAAAAAAUUCCGGAAAUUUAGUCGGAUGCAAGUGUCCACGCGCCGACCAGUAUUGUACAAGCCAGUCCAAGUGCCCUUGGCAGAUACGGCGCCGGCCUGCAACGCCUCCCACUAUUCCAUAAGUAGAAAGUCUCCGUGCGGAACUGGAGAAAGAGAAAAGAAGAAUGAGAAGCUGGAGACGGAGAAAGCAAUCAUGGGAGGUAAACUUUUCAUCCCAGGUACCACCAUGCCACGCCACACCAACCAAGGUGAGCGCAUGUUGUUAGUUGUGCUAUUGCUAGUUUGCUACAUGUUGGGUCUUUGGAUGGGCAUACAUCCGGAAAAGAAGAGUGACUAUGCGUACCUUGAUUCAUUGUGGUUUGAUAUGUACAUAAUUGGGAAACAUAAAUCAAAAGUCCUUAAAUGCGUAAAAGCUAAGAAAAUAUUCACAAGAAGAUAUGUAUUUGUCCCCAUUGUUUAUUGGGGACAUUGGAGCCUCCUUGUGUUGUGUAAUUUUGGCGAGACAAACUACUUGGGUACUCCAAAGGGGCCACGCAUGCUACUGUUGGAUUCACUUAGAACAACACAACCAAAGAGGUUGCCAUCCGUCAUCAACAGCUUCAUUAUUGAUAUUUUAAAAACAGAAGAGCGGGAAGAGAUAGGGCAGUUCACAAAUCAAGUCCAGCUUGAGUUUCCUGAGGUUCCACGGCAAAGUGGAAAUGAUUGUGGUAUAUAUGUUCUGUAUUUUAUAUACUGUUUUCUCAAAAUCGAAAAACUGGGAGAAGAUUUGAGCCAGCUGUUCUUCAUACCGAAUCUACAUACAUUUCCAGUCGUUCACUAA
RNAcentral lists this ribosomal RNA (831 nucleotides) under Triticum aestivum (bread wheat). Its description in RNAcentral is "partial small subunit ribosomal RNA". The record is from RNAcentral. Lineage: Eukaryota; Viridiplantae; Streptophyta; Magnoliopsida; Poales; Poaceae.